This 503-nucleotide ribosomal RNA is filed under the name uncultured bacterium. RNAcentral's name for it is "partial 16S ribosomal RNA". It matches the Rfam family "Bacterial small subunit ribosomal RNA", at positions 30 to 523 of the family's 1533-position model. The record is from RNAcentral.
AUUGAACGCUGGCGGCAGGCUUAACACAUGCAAGUCGAGCGGGGUGAUGGUGCUUGCACUAUCACUUAGCGGCGGACGGGUGAGUAAUGCUUAGGAAUCUGCCUAUUAGUGGGGGACAACAUCUCGAAAGGGAUGCUAAUACCGCAUACGUCCUACGGGAGAAAGCAGGGGAUCACUUGUGACCUUGCGCUAAUAGAUGAGCCUAAGUCGGAUUAGCUAGUUGGUGGGGUAAAGGCCUACCAAGGCGACGAUCUGUAGCGGGUCUGAGAGGAGGAUCCGCCACACUGGGACUGAGACACGGCCCAGACUCCUACGGGAGGCAGCAGUGGGGAAUAUUGGACAAUGGGGGGAACCCUGAUCCAGCCAUGCCGCGUGUGUGAAGAAGGCCUUAUGGUUGUAAAGCACUUUAAGCGAGGAGGAGGCUCUUUCGGUUAAUACCCAGAAUGAGUGGACGUUACUCGCAGAAUAAGCACCGGCUAACUCUGUGCCAGCCGCCGCCGUAA